Molecule: unclassified non-coding RNA, 348 nt
Filed under: uncultured fungus
Lineage: Eukaryota; Fungi
Description: partial contains small subunit ribosomal RNA, internal transcribed spacer 1, and 5.8S ribosomal RNA
Rfam family: Eukaryotic small subunit ribosomal RNA (bases 1-73)
Source: RNAcentral
UCAAACUUGGUCAUUUAGAGGAAGUAAAAGUCGUAACAAGGUUUCCGUAGGUGAACCUGCGGAAGGAUCAUUAUUGAACAUAACUAUGGUGGAUUGUUGCUGGCUCUCUGAAGCAUGUGCACAUCUGCUGUCUUUAUCUAUCCCAUUGUGCACCAUUUGUAGUCCUGGAGGAAAUAUACCUAAGCUCACAAGUGUGACUUUUGGAAUUUUGCCUUCUCAGGUCUAUGUCUUUUUUCACAAACACUGUAUUUAGUCGUGGAAUGUAAUCAAUAGGCUUUUGUGCCUAUAAAACUCUAUACAACUUUCAGCAACGGAUCUCUUGGCUCUCGCAUCGAUGAAGAACGCAGC